AAAUAACAAUGAUUUCCCUAGUAACGGCGAGUGAACAGGAAAGAGCUCAAAGUUGGAACCCGUUUGUUUUAGCCAAACCGGAUUGUAAACUGUAGAAGUGUUUUCCUGCCACGCCUGGAUGAAAAAGUCCAUUGGAACAUGGUGACAUAGAGGGUGAGAGCCCCGUAUUUCGUCAGAGCUGUUGUCUUUUGUGAUACACUUUCAAAGAGUCAGGUUGUUUGGGAAUGCAGCCUAAAUUGGGUGGUAAAUCUCACCUAAAGCUAAAUAUUGGCAAAAGACCGAUAGCGAACAAGUACCGUGAGGGAAAGAUGAAAAGAACUUUGAAAAGAGAGUUAAACAGUAUGUGAAAUUGUUAAAAGGGAACCGUUUGGAGCCAGACUGGCUUGAUUGUAAUCAAUCUAGAUUUCGAUCUGGAUGCACUUGCAGUCUAUGCCUGCCAACGACAAUUCAUUCUGGAGGAAAAAACUAGGAGGAAUGUGGCCCCUCGGGGUGUUAUAGCUUCUUAGAAAAUACUCUGGGUUGGAUUGAGGAACGCAGUGGAUGCUAUUUGGCGAAGUUGCUGAGUGCUUUUAUUGGUACGUGUUAGAAUUUCUGCUUCGGGUGGUGCUAGCAUUUACUGGUAAAACUCGCUUGGUAAUCUUUUAUUCCGCUUAGGUUGUUGCU
Molecule: ribosomal RNA, 663 nt
Filed under: Gilbertella persicaria var. persicaria
Lineage: Eukaryota; Fungi; Mucoromycota; Mucoromycetes; Mucorales; Choanephoraceae
Description: eukaryotic LSU rRNA
Rfam family: Eukaryotic large subunit ribosomal RNA
Source: RNAcentral